RNAcentral lists this ribosomal RNA (253 nucleotides) under uncultured bacterium. RNAcentral's name for it is "partial 16S ribosomal RNA". It matches the Rfam family "Bacterial small subunit ribosomal RNA", at positions 524 to 776 of the family's 1533-position model. The record is from RNAcentral.
GACGUAGGGUGCGAGCGUUGUCCGGAAUUACUGGGCGUAAAGAGCUCGUAGGUGGUUUGUCGCGUUGUCCGUGAAAACUCACAACUCAAUUGUGGGCGUGCGGGCGAUACGGGCAGACUGGAGUACUGCAGGGGAGACUGGAAUUCCUGGUGUAGCGGUGGAAUGCGCAGAUAUCAGGAGGAACACCGGUGGCGAAGGCGGGUCUCUGGGCAGUAACUGACGCUGAGACGCGAAAGCUAGGGGAGCGAACAGG